RNAcentral lists this ribosomal RNA (1282 nucleotides) under metagenome. Its description in RNAcentral is "bacterial SSU rRNA". It matches the Rfam family "Bacterial small subunit ribosomal RNA", at positions 245 to 1520 of the family's 1533-position model. The record is from RNAcentral.
CUAGUUGGUGAGGUACGGCUUACCAAGGCGACGAUCUGUAGCGGGUCUGAGAGGAUGAUCCGCCACACUGGAACUGAGACACGGUCCAGACUCCUACGGGAGGCAGCAGUGGGGAAUUUUGGACAAUGGGGGCAACCCUGAUCCAGCCAUGCCGCGUGAGUGAAGAAGGCCUUCGGGUUGCAAAGCUCUUUCGGCCGGGAAGAAAUCGCAUGGGCCAAUACCCUGUGUGGAUGACGGUACCGGAAUAAGAAGCACCGGCUAACUACGUGCCAGCAGCCGCGGUAAUACGUAGGGUGCGAGCGUUAAUCGGAAUUACUGGGCGUAAAGCGUGCGCAGGCGGUUUUGUAAGACAGGCGUGAAAUCCCCGGGCUCAACCUGGGAACUGCGUUUGUGACUGCAAGGCUAGAGUACGGCAGAGGGGGGUGGAAUUCCACGUGUAGCAGUGAAAUGCGUAGAGAUGUGGAGGAACACCAAUGGCGAAGGCAGCCCCCUGGGUCGAUACUGACGCUCAUGCACGAAAGCGUGGGUAGCAAACAGGAUUAGAUACCCUGGUAGUCCACGCCCUAAACUAUGUCAACUAGGUGUUGGGUGGGUAAAACCAUUUAGUACCGUAGCUAACGCGUGAAGUUGACCGCCUGGGAGUACGGCCGCAAGGUUAAAACUCAAAGGAAUUGACGGGGACCCGCACAAGCGGUGGAUGAUGUGGAUUAAUUCGAUGCAACGCGAAAAGCCUUACCUACCCUUGACAUGCCAGGAACUUGCCAGAGAUGGCUUGGUGCCCGAAAGGGAGCCUGGACACAGGUGCUGCAUGGCUGUCGUCAGCUCGUGUCGUGAGAUGUUGGGUUAAGUCCCGCAACGAGCGCAACCCUUGUCGUUAAUUGCCAUCAUUUAGUUGGGCACUUUAGCGAGACUGCCGGUGACAAACCGGUGGAAGGUGGGGAUGACGUCAAGUCCUCAUGGCCCUUAUGGGUAGGGCUUCACACGUCAUACAAUGGUCGGUACAGAGGGUCGCCAAGCCGCGAGGUGGAGCCAAUCCCAGAAAGCCGAUCGUAGUCCGGAUUGCAGGCUGCAACUCGCCUGCAUGAAGUCGGAAUCGCUAGUAAUCGUGGAUCAGCAUGUCACGGUGAAUACGUUCCCGGGUCUUGUACACACCGCCCGUCACACCAUGGGAGCGGGUUCCGCCAGAAGUAGGUAGCCUAACCGCAAGGAGGGCGCUUACCACGGCGGGGUUCGUGACUGGGGUGAAGUCGUAACAAGGUAGCCGUAGGGGAACCUGCGGCUG